Molecule: ribosomal RNA, 484 nt
Filed under: uncultured bacterium
Lineage: Bacteria
Description: partial 16S ribosomal RNA
Rfam family: Bacterial small subunit ribosomal RNA
Source: RNAcentral
AUUGAACGCUGGCGGCAGGCCUAACACAUGCAAGUCGAGCGGAUGAAGGGAGCUUGCUCCUGGAUUCAGCGGCGGACGGGCGAGUAAUGCCUAGGAAUCUGCCUUGUAUUGGGGGAUAACGUCCGGACACGGGCGCUAAUACCGCAUACGUCCUGAGGGAGAAAGUGGGGGAUCUUCGGACCUCACGCUAUCAGAUGAGCCUAGGUCGGAUUAGCUAGUUGGUGGGGUAAAGGCCUACCAAGGCGACGAUCCGUAACUGGUCUGAGAGGAUGAUCAGUCACACUGGAACUGAGACACGGUCCAGACUCCUACGGGAGGCAGCAGUGGGGAAUAUUGGACAAUGGGCGAAAGCCUGAUCCAGCCAUGCCGCGUGUGUGAAGAAGGUCUUCGGAUUGUAAAGCACUUUAAGUUGGGAGGAAGGGCAGUAAGUUAAUACCUUGCUGUUUUGACGUUACCAACAGAAUAAGCACCGGCUAACUUCGUG